UUUUCCAUGCAAAACCCAUUGAGUGUGUUUAGGAGAAAUCCAUGACCAAAAAAGUGAUCCUCCACCAUAUCUCGAUAAUGCCAAUACGAUUAAAGCACAAUCUACAAAGACAUAAUAUUUUAUUUCCUAGAGAAGCUCAUUCAAAUGCCUUAUUGAGAAAAUCCUUGACUCUAUUUUCGUACACAUCCGUGGAUCUUGGGAGAUA
This 205-nucleotide long non-coding RNA is filed under the name Capsicum annuum. Its description in RNAcentral is "long non-coding RNA (CANN_LNC014699)". Lineage: Eukaryota; Viridiplantae; Streptophyta; Magnoliopsida; Solanales; Solanaceae. The record is from RNAcentral.